This 452-nucleotide long non-coding RNA is filed under the name Sinocyclocheilus anshuiensis. Its description in RNAcentral is "lncRNA (ENSSANG00000028117.1)". Lineage: Eukaryota; Metazoa; Chordata; Actinopteri; Cypriniformes; Cyprinidae. The record is from RNAcentral.
GCUAGCUAUCAGAGGAAGUAUUCUAUUUGAGUAUGAAGCAUUCUUCUACUAUAUUGCUUAUUCUGUGUGCUCUGGGCGAAGUAGGCUAUUCCCCCAAGUCCAGGGAAGGGAGUUCAUUUCUCGAAUCACAUCGAACAUGCAAAACUCCAGAACAACAAGUUCUGCAGUCACAUGCGUGUGUCCAUCAGUGUCCAUCUGUCUGUCUGCUGUCUGGAAGAUGCUGACUUCUGUCUUUCCCUGUGGGGAAAUGGAUUUGCUUCUCUCUGUUGAGGAGACCAAACCAGAUCCAGUCCAGAGUUCAGUGCGUCCGUGUUCACUCACUCACUGAGGAUGAGGAGGAGGAUGAUGCCUGAUGAAGAAGAGCAGCUUGAUUAGUCAAGAGAAACAUUUUUCUUGACUUUGUAUGAAAUGCUUUCAAAAAAGAUUCCAUACUUUGUCAACAUUUCCAUGCC